This is a long non-coding RNA of Mustela erminea (ermine), 72 nucleotides long. RefSeq lists it as uncharacterized. NCBI's taxonomy places the organism in Eukaryota, Metazoa, Chordata, Mammalia, Carnivora, Mustelidae. The transcript has 3 exons. The record is from RefSeq and is a predicted model, not a curated record.
AAACUAUAGUAAAAGAAUAAGGAAGUGAUGAGUUUUGUGCAUUCAUUACCUUUAUUGUUCAUAAAAUCUUAA